Molecule: long non-coding RNA, 513 nt
Filed under: Panax ginseng (ginseng)
Lineage: Eukaryota; Viridiplantae; Streptophyta; Magnoliopsida; Apiales; Araliaceae
Description: long non-coding RNA (PGIN_LNC017001)
Source: RNAcentral
UGUCACGUAUUCUUGUUUUUCUAGUAGUGAUGCGAUCUAGUCUGGCAUGGUAAGCAUCCAUUGGCAUCUUCAGAACUGCAGCUGAAUGCUAUGGAACCUCUUCAUGUUGCUGCUCCAAUAUGAACCCAGCUUCUCUUGGGUAGGACUCAAAACCGUCCUACACUUUAUAUUUCUGAAUAGUGAUGUGGUCAAUAUCGAGCAUGAGCAGCACUAAAGGUUCACUCUCAUCCCAACGGACUCUAGCUGCACAGCAUAGUCUAGUACUGAUUACAGCAUGAGGAAUGCCACCUGAAGAACCACCUUGUAGAUAUCGUCGGAUAGAAGCUUAUAUGACCCGACCCAUGUCGAUCUUCUUGCCCAAAAUAAUACUAAAUAACAUAAUUUCCCUGUCUUUAGUGAUGACUUUCUGAUUGCCACAGAUAAAACUGUACCACGCCUUUCCAUAUCUUCUUAAGGCUGUGUGGGGGAAAUGCAGUUUUUGGUCAGUGCCCUGUUUUUUAGCCCAUACAGUAC